UACGUAGGGUGCAAGCGUUGUCCGGAAUUAUUGGGCGUAAAGAGCUCGUAGGCGGUUAUUCAAGUCAGAGGUGAAAGCCCGGAGCUCAACUCCGGAAUAGCCUUUGAAACUAGGUAGCUUGAACGUCGGAGAGGUGAGUGGAAUUCCGAGUGUAGAGGUGAAAUUCGUAGAUAUUCGGAAGAACACCAGUGGCGAAGGCGGCUCACUGGACGACUGUUGACGCUGAGGUACGAAAGCGUGGGGAGCAAACAGG
RNAcentral lists this ribosomal RNA (253 nucleotides) under uncultured bacterium. RNAcentral describes it as "partial 16S ribosomal RNA". It matches the Rfam family "Bacterial small subunit ribosomal RNA", at positions 524 to 776 of the family's 1533-position model. The record is from RNAcentral.